Frankliniella occidentalis (western flower thrips) is the source of this 355-nucleotide long non-coding RNA. RefSeq lists it as uncharacterized. Lineage: Eukaryota; Metazoa; Arthropoda; Insecta; Thysanoptera; Thripidae. The transcript is spliced from 3 exons. The record is from RefSeq and is a predicted model, not a curated record.
UCGUGUGUUUUCUGUUAUUGCCGACGAAAACGAAAAGAACGCGGAGCUGAGGCUCGCAGAGUGAGAUGCGCGGGCGUCCGCAGAAGUCGCCCCCGCCCGCCCCGGCGCUGACACCCGACGCUGCGCCCCCACGGCGGUUGUAGCGGCCGUGCAGCGCGGACGGCGCUGACUGGGGAGGGUCUUAGUCAGUUAGUACGUCAAACGCCCGUCGCCGUGGACUGCAAGCAGCAUUCCUAACGAGCCCCGCUCUCCAGAUGGAGUGAUGUCGUCCGUAGCGCAAUGUCGGAGAAACGCGCUCAGGAUGGCGACGACCGCCCCCAGCCCCGCCUGGCCCCUGCCGCGGGGCGCCGCCCUC